RNAcentral lists this long non-coding RNA (828 nucleotides) under Pan troglodytes (chimpanzee). RNAcentral's name for it is "lincRNA". The record is from RNAcentral. Lineage: Eukaryota; Metazoa; Chordata; Mammalia; Primates; Hominidae.
GCGUCCCCUUCCACACUGUGGAAGGUUUGUUCUUUCGCUCUUUUCAAUAAAUCUUGCUACCGCUCACUCUUUGGGUCCAGACUGCCUUUAUGAGCUGUAACACUCACUUCCAAGGUCUGCAGCUUCACUCCUGAAGCCAGUGAGACCACGAGCCCACCAGGAGGAACGAACAACUCCAGACGCGCCGCCUUAAGAGCUGUAACACUCACUGCUAAGGUCUACAGCUUCACUCCUGAGCCAGCGAGACCACAAACCCACCAGAAGGAAGAAACUCCGAACACAUCCAAACAUCAGAAGGAAUAAACUCCGGACACGCCGCCUUUAAGAACUGUAACACUCACCGUGAGGGUUUGCGGCAUCAUUCUUGAAAAUCAAGUUAAAGUUUUGUUCUGAAAUUUCAAGGCCUUUCACACCAAUUUGAUACGGUUUGGAUUUGUGUCCCUGCUGGAAUGUAAAGUUGAACUGUAAUCCCGGAUGCUGGAGGAGGGACCUGCUGGGAGGUGAUUGCAUCAUGGGGGCAUAUUUCCCCCUUGCUGUUCUCUUGAUGACACAAUUGAACAGCAGAACUCUUGCUCCCAUGAAUUGGCGAGUAUAGUCAGAAGUCUACCCACUGUGGAUGGGAGACAGAAAAGAAAGAAAGAGCCUGAAUUACUGAGGGGCCUGAACAGAACAAAAUGUCAGAGGAAAGUUGAAUUCGCUCUCUGCUUGUGAGUGCUUGAACUGGAACAUGGAUUGGCCCUCAGUGCUCCUGUUUCUUAGGCCUUCAAGACUAGAUCAGAAUCUUCACCAUCAGCACUGUUGGUCCUCCUGCUUUCAGGCCUUCAAACC